RNAcentral lists this long non-coding RNA (1190 nucleotides) under Cricetulus griseus (Chinese hamster). RNAcentral's name for it is "lncRNA (ENSCGRG00015032335.1)". Lineage: Eukaryota; Metazoa; Chordata; Mammalia; Rodentia; Cricetidae. The record is from RNAcentral.
CUUCACUUAGCUCAGGGUGGAAAAGGCUGUUAUCGAGGUCUAGAAUUUUCCUGUGGCUGAGACGCAGGUGGGUUUUAUGUAACCCAUGAUGACUGAAAGCUGCCAUGUGGCUAAAGAUGGCCGUGGAUUGCUGACCCUUCUCCGUUAUCCGUCCUUGUGUGGGAUUACAGAAGCGCCAGCCACCCUGUGGCUCUUCCGCAUAUUGUUAUCUGUUGGGUGCCCUGGAGCCUGAACCAAGGGCCUUCCUGGGUAAAGACUCUGCUGAUGGCAUGUGCAGUCCUGGCCAGAGUCCAUCAACCUGGCCAGUAUUUAAUUAAAACUUGCUUCAGAUUUGGCUCAAAAUUGUAGAACUGGCUUCACUCAAAUUUCAGGAUUAGCAUAUAUGUAUAAAGUGUCAUAACAAAACUAUUAUGUAUCAUUAACAUGCAUUAAUAACAACAAUGUAAUGAGAUUAAGAUCCUACCUUGAAAACUACUCUAUGACCCAGAUGACUCCACCAGAGGCCAGAGAUUAGCAGGCCGAUGUACUUUUUUCUCCUUUUUAGACAUAGUAUCUAUGAAUAUUUAACUUUUUAAAAAAUACUAUUUUGUGUGUGAGUGUUUGCAUGUCUGUCUGUACACCACAUGUGCCUGGUGCCUUAAAACUAGAUAUAGAUGGCUGUGAGCUGUCAUGUAGAUGCUGGGAAUUGAACUUGGGUUCUCUGCAAGAGUCAUCUCUCCAGUUCAUUAAUUCUUCUUAGAAAUUGUACUAUGCUGGACGGUGGUGUCGCAUGCCUUUACUCCCAGCAUUUAGGAGGCAGAGGCAGGCAGAUCUCCGUGAGUUCAAAGCCAGCCUGGUCUACAGCAUGAGUUCCAGGACAGCCAGGACUACACAGAGAAACCCCGUCUCGAAAAACAAAAACAAACUUAAAAAGUGUCUGUGCUAAUUUUUUAAAUGAUUUAUUUAUUUACUCCAUGUGCAUUAAGGGUUUUCCCCACAUGUAUGUCUGUGUGAGGGUGUCAGAGCCCCUAGAACUCGAAUACAGACAGUUGUGAGCUGCCAUAUGGGUGCCGGGAAUUGAAACCAAUUCUCUGGAAGAACAGCCAGUGCUCUCAACUGCCGAGCCAUCUCUCCAGCCCAAUUCAACAUCUUACUGGUGUUCUUGGGGAACUACCACCAACAAAACUGCUGUGGCUGGAAGCCUGUGUCGG